RNAcentral lists this long non-coding RNA (1238 nucleotides) under Oncorhynchus mykiss (rainbow trout). RNAcentral describes it as "lncRNA (ENSOMYG00000050255.1)". The record is from RNAcentral. Lineage: Eukaryota; Metazoa; Chordata; Actinopteri; Salmoniformes; Salmonidae.
UAUGAAAAACCUAAUCUUCAAAUAAGCGACAAGAGUGGUGAGAUAAGCUUGGGCAUUGAUCAACAAUGAUAAUCUUUGCCUGGGGGUCCGUUUGUCUUUUCUGACCUUUCAGAGUGGAGAGAAUUGAGUCCACACAGAGAAUGGAUGAGGUCUGCCCUGAGAUGUCUGUUGAUGGAUCAGACCUUGUGAAAUGAGUUAAUGUUUGUCCUGCGGUCACAGGAGGAUUAUGAGGGGGUCCUGACAGAGUGACCCAUGGACUGUCAGAGUGUAUAGGGGGUCUGCCCUUUGACCCCAACAGAUUGGAACCAGCCAGGUGGAUUAACAGGCUCCCCACCGGCCUGCCCUUUGGCUGAGGGUUGAAAAAUACUUAUAGAAAUACGAUUUUUCUCAGUCGGGUUUUGCUCAUCUACGUCUCUCCUCUUUAAUUCACUCACAACCUGCAAUUUCUGGGGUUACGCCACACACACACAGGAAUGCUGGCUGUGUGUCAGGGCAGGGCUCACAAAUACCAUGGUGUGAGCAUGUGUGCAGAAUGAGUGCUUCACACACGUUAAGAACAGGGGAGAGAGAUCGGAAUGCAUGGAACAGAAACUGAGGUUUCCACACAACACAAGGCAGCUGGUCAGGCUGAAGUUCAUCGGACAUAGCUGAACAAUUGUUCAAGCCCUGCUAUGGAGGCUUGCUUUGCAAAACGGCAAAAUGAAUUUUCCAGAAGCAGGCAGAGUCAUCCGCUUUUAUCUUCGACGUCUGUCGGUUGGAGCAUCUGCAGACACCCCCUCCUCCCCCCCCACCUCGUCCCUCCUCAGUGCUUCUGACUGCAAUCUCUUGUCAACAGGGACAAAUAUCGACUUGUCCUGCAGCCCAAUUUAUGCCAGGAUUGGGAACCUAGCACCCGAAAACUCAUGAUUAUGUCCAACAGAGCUCAUUACUGUCAAAUCAAAGGGCCCCUCAUAGGAGUCACUCAUUGGUAAUGACCCCGUUAUUCAGCCAACAUGUGGGGGUGUUGACCCGCAAACUCUCAGUGAAUAAUGAUCAUAAUUUGGUUGGUGCUUACAUUUGUCCUAUGUCACACAUGUACAAGUGUGUAUUAAUACACAUGUCUGAAUUAGAUUUUUUUGUGCAUAUGUAACCGAUGUGAAAUGGCUAGCUAGUUUGCAGGGUGCGCGCUAAUAGCGUUUCAAUCGGGGACGUCACUCGCUCUGAGACCUUGAAGUAGUUGUUCCCCUUGCCCAGCAAGG